GUGGGGAAUAUUGCGCAAUGGGGGAAACCCUGACGCAGCGACGCCGUGUGAGGGAAGAAGGCUUUCGGGUCGUAAACCUCUGUCAGAAAGGAAGAACCUCCCAAGUCCGAAUAGGGCUUGGGACUGACGGUACUUUCAAAGGAAGCACCGGCUAACUCCGUGCCAGCAGCCGCGGUAAUACGGAGGGUGCAAGCGUUAAUCGGAAUCACUGGGCGUAAAGCGCGCGUAGGCCGCUUUGUAAGUCGGACGUGAAAGCCCUCGGCUCAACCGGGGAACUGCGUUCGAUACUGCGAGGCUUGAGUCCUGGAGAGGGUGGCGGAAUUCCGGGUGUAGGAGUGAAAUCCGUAGAUAUCCGGAGGAACACCGGUGGCGAAGUCGGCCACCUGGACAGGUACUGACGCUGAGGCGCGAAAGCGUGGGGAGCAAACAGGAUUAGAUACCCCAGUAGUCC
RNAcentral lists this ribosomal RNA (451 nucleotides) under uncultured bacterium. Its description in RNAcentral is "partial 16S ribosomal RNA". It matches the Rfam family "Bacterial small subunit ribosomal RNA", at positions 354 to 796 of the family's 1533-position model. The record is from RNAcentral.